AGAGUUUGAUCAUGGCUCAGAACGAACGCUGGCGGCAGGCUUAACACAUGCAAGUCGAGCGGAUCCUUCGGGAUCAGCGGCAGACGGGUGAGUAACGCGUGGGAAUCUACCCAACCCUACGGAACAACUCCGGGAAACUGGAGCUAAUACCGUAUACGCCCCCCUUUAAAAUAUCAUGAAGCGUAAGAUGCCCUUGGCAUUUUAUGGGGGGGAAAGAUUUAUCGGGGAUGGAUGAGCCCGCGUUGGAUUAGCUAGUUGGUGGGGUAAAGGCCUACCAAGGCGACGAUCCAUAGCUGGUCUGAGAGGAUGAUCAGCCACAUUGGGACUGAGACACGGCCCAAACUCCUACGGGAGGCAGCAGUGGGGAAUAUUGGACAAUGGGCGCAAGCCUGAUCCAGCCAUGCCGCGUGAGUGAUGAAGGCCCUAGGGUUGUAAAGCUCUUUCACCGAUGAAGAUAAUGACGGUAGUCGGAGAAGAAGCCCCGGCUAACUUCGUGCCAGCAGCCGCGGUAAUACGAAGGGGGCUAGCGUUGUUCGGAAUUACUGGGCGUAAAGCGCACGUAGGCGGAUAUUUAAGUCAGGGGUGAAAUCCCAGAGCUCAACUCUGGAACUGCCUUUGAUACUGGGUAUCUUGAGUAUGGAAGAGGUAAGUGGAAUUCCGAGUGUAGAGGAAAUUCGUAGAUAUUCGGAGGAACACCAGUGGCGAAGGCGGCUUACUGGUCCAUUACUGACGCUGAGGUGCGAAAGCGUGGGGAGCAAACAGGAUUAGAUACCCUAGUAGUCC
RNAcentral lists this ribosomal RNA (783 nucleotides) under uncultured bacterium. Its description in RNAcentral is "bacterial SSU rRNA". It matches the Rfam family "Bacterial small subunit ribosomal RNA", at positions 8 to 796 of the family's 1533-position model. The record is from RNAcentral.